Long non-coding RNA from Esox lucius (northern pike), 1240 nucleotides. RefSeq lists it as uncharacterized. NCBI's taxonomy places the organism in Eukaryota, Metazoa, Chordata, Actinopteri, Esociformes, Esocidae. The transcript has 4 exons. The record is from RefSeq and is a predicted model, not a curated record.
CCAGCAUCAAUGUCAGCCUCAGAACAAUCUUUUUCUUGAACAGGAUUUCCGGAUGACCAUGAAACUACUAGUCCUAGUGGUGUGCCUGAUUGGACUGUGUUCCUCCAUUCCUGUGUCUAAGAAACAUGAUAGAGAGGAGCGCUCUUCGAGUCAUGAGGGGUAUAGGGGUUUUGGGGGGUUCUACCCCUAUCCUCAGUACUUCCCACCAGCUCCCCAGGGUGACUCUGACCUCAUGGCCCUGCUGCCCUUGCUAUUGGCAAGACCAGUUCCUGCACCAGUCCCUGCCCCACCUGCCCCAUCUAUCCUAUCUUACUUAACUUCCUUUCUUGGAAGGUAAUAGAAAUUAGAUGGUCUUUGAUGGAAGACUGGCUAGAAAAUUUACUACAAUGUCAACUCUACUGCAAAGCUAAGAAUUCCACUAAAAAUAAAUAAAUACAAUUUAGACUGCUCUUCAUGGAUGAUUUUUGAAAGGAGUGGAGCAGCACUUCUCCCUUUUUUAUAUGUUGUGCUUUAUUUACGCAUUAGUAAAGUUGUGAUAAACAGAAAAGAUGGGUGUGUUAGCCAAAUGGCUAAAACCCAUAAUCCUGUGGCUGUACUCAGUUGGAAUAUACAAGCCACUUUUAAGUGUUUGUCUUUGUCUGUUCUGUUCUGUGCUUCACAGAAUUUAGAAACAAUUCUAUUUUAGAUGUUUUCAGAACAUGUCUAGACAUGAAACCUCUCAAACAUAAGUUUAAUGCUCUAAAACGUUUGCACCACAAAAAAGAAUAAAAGUUGGACAGUUCGACUAUGUAAAUGUAAAUUAAAUAAUUGCAAUAAUAAUUUGUAUACAGUUAAUAGAUAAUUUAUAUUAUUACAAAAUGCAACUGUCAUCAAAAGAUGACCAUUACGAUCUGCCAGAACAUUAGUUGUUGUAUAACAACCUGAAUUACUGAGAAGUUGAAAACAUGAGUGGACAUGAAACUCAGGUGUGGGCUCUACAAUGUUCAAACAAGAUUGAGAAGAAAUUGCCAUUACUAGGUGAACAGGAAUGACACUGAAGACCUGUCAUGACACUGUGGUAUACUGGUGCAAUAUGAAGCAAUAUAUCAUUAUUGACAUAUAAUGAAUGUAGUUUUUGAGAGAUUAAAUUUUUUAUCGUUAACACAAACAGAUGUUUUAGGUCAUUUUGAGCCUUUUGUGUAGUAUGACUUUAGAUAGAAUUUACAUGUCAAAGAGUCACACAAUAAUGAGGACACACAAU